UGGGGAAUAUUGGACAAUGGGCGAAAGCCUGAUCCAGCCAUGCCGCGUGUGUGAAGAAGGUCUUCGGAUUGUAAAGCACUUUAAGUUGGGAGGAAGGGCAUUAACCUAAUACGUUAGUGUUUUGACGUUACCGACAGAAUAAGCACCGGCUAACUCUGUGCCAGCAGCCGAGGUAAUACAGAGGGUGCAAGCGUUAAUCGGAAUUACUGGGCGUAAAGCGCGCGUAGGUGGUUUGUUAAGUUGGAUGUGAAAGCCCCGGGCUCAACCUGGGAACUGCAUCCAAAACUGGCAAGCUAGAGUACGGUAGAGGGUGGUGGAAUUUCCUGUGUAGCGGUGAAAUGCGUAGAUAUAGGAAGGAACACCAGUGGCGAAGGCGACCACCUGGACUGAUACUGACACUGAGGUGCGAAAGCGUGGGGAGCAAACA
This 427-nucleotide ribosomal RNA is filed under the name uncultured bacterium. RNAcentral's name for it is "partial 16S ribosomal RNA". It matches the Rfam family "Bacterial small subunit ribosomal RNA", at positions 355 to 774 of the family's 1533-position model. The record is from RNAcentral.